This 492-nucleotide ribosomal RNA is filed under the name uncultured bacterium. RNAcentral describes it as "partial 16S ribosomal RNA". It matches the Rfam family "Bacterial small subunit ribosomal RNA", at positions 29 to 507 of the family's 1533-position model. The record is from RNAcentral.
AGUGAACGCUGGCGGUAGGCCUAACACAUGCAAGUCGAACGGCAGCACAGUAAGAGCUUGCUCUUACGGGUGGCGAGUGGCGGACGGGUGAGGAAUACAUCGGAAUCUACUUUUUCGUGGGGGAUAACGUAGGGAAACUUACGCUAAUACCGCAUACGACCUACGGGUGAAAGCAGGGGAUCUUCGGACCUUGCGCGAUUGAAUGAGCCGAUGUCGGAUUAGCUAGUUGGCGGGGUAAAGGCCCACCAAGGCGACGAUCCGUAGCUGGUCUGAGAGGAUGAUCAGCCACACUGGAACUGAGACACGGUCCAGACUCCUACGGGAGGCAGCAGUAGGGAAUAUUGGACAAUGGGCGAAAGCCCGAUCCAGCCAUACCGCGUGGGUGAAGAAGGCCUUCGGGUUGUAAAGCCCUUUUGUUGGGAAAGAAAAUCAGCAGGUUAAUACCCCGCUGUUCUGACGGUACCCAAAGAAUAAGCACCGGCUAACUUCGUG